CUCUGGAGAUCCCGCCACAUUAUGGCUUUGGCCAUACCGAGAGCUCUCCACUGAGAACGUCAGGCAGAAGAGACCUGGGGCUGGUUGCCUGAGUACUGCCAGGGGAAACGAGAAGAGGAGCAAGCAGUACAGUUGUCCUUAGAUAUGUUUCGAAGUGAUUGAUGCUACUUGUAAUAGAGUGCGGAAAAGUUCAAGGCGAAGAAACCAUAGCAGUAAAGAUAAUCAGGGAGCAAUGGAAACUUCAUCACCUCACUUCAGCGAUUGCUAGAGCAACAGUCAGAGGCUCAACAAGAGGCUGGAAGAACAUUGUGGUCUCCACCUCGCAGAAUAGCAGAUAUCUGGAGAAGACGCCAGGACAGCAGAAGAUGCUUUUUUUCUCAAGUGCGCGUGGAACAUUCCUUACAACAUUAGACACAAAAGGAAGCUUAGUUCAUCUACAAGGAUUAAAAAUACGACGUAUGUUCUAUGACCAUGAUUAAACGAGUUUGAAAAAAGAAUAUUAGAGCCUUCUGCAUUAAGAGGAGAAACGGGAUCUGCUCGGUGCUCCCACGUAGGGAUGCUUGGGACACGAUUUAGGAAAGAGCCUGAAUUCUUGGGGUCUAGGUUUCAUUAUCUGGGGCCUACUGCCUGCUGCGCUGUCUGCCACUGAUGCGUGUGGGAAACUGGCCAGAGAGAUCCCAGGGUGCGGUUGCAGUAUGGAGGAGAGGAUUUCUGUCGGGUCUGAUGAAUCUGGAGUCAAGCAUUUACCCUGAUAUUGGAAAGUUUCCAAGAGAUCUCGGCUCCGUCGUUGGCAGAACAGACAAAAUAUCCAGCCCAGCUAGAUCCAGUUCUGGAGGAUUCUGAACAACUUCCAAUGACCAGAUCUGUUUGUAGGACUGGAGGAAUAUGGUGGAGAACAUAAUCAGAAUAGAGAGGAAAAUAAGGUGAAGGAGCUGGGGACCGAACCCAGGGCCUUGUGCUUGCUAGGUUCAUUCGCAUCAAAGAAUCAGCCGACCAAAAUGUCAAAAUAAACAUUUAACUACUAAGUGAACAAAUUAAACUUCUUUAUGAUUUAAUUGCA
Molecule: non-coding RNA, 1060 nt
Organism: Rattus norvegicus (Norway rat)
Lineage: Eukaryota; Metazoa; Chordata; Mammalia; Rodentia; Muridae
Source: RefSeq, a predicted model, not a curated record